UAUUUAGAGAGUUUGAUUCUAGCUCCGAGUGAACGCUUGUGUAUGCUUAACACAUGCGAGUCGAACGUCAUCCAGUUAUUGGUUGUACGUGGCGGACUGUGAGUAACACGUGAGAAAUUUACCUAGAAGAUUUGUAAGGAUGUGUAUUUUAAAUACGAAACCUUAUCUUAAGAUUGUAUCGCUUCUAGAUAAGCUCGCGCAGGAUUAGGUUGUUGUUAGGUAAUGGCUAACCAAGCCCGCGAUCCUUAGCUGAUUUGAGAGGUAGAUCAGCCACAUUGGAUUGAGAACGGCCCAAACUCCUGUAGGAGGCAGCAGUGAGGAAUCUUGGACAAUGGGCGAAAGCUUGAUCAGCAAUACCACGUGAGUGACGACAGCGCAAAUGUUGUAAAGCUCUUUCGCUGAAGAGGAUAAUGACUGUAUUCAGAGAAGAAGUCCCGCUAAUUCCGUGCCAGCAGCCGCGGUAAAACGGGAGGGACUAGUGUUACUCGUCAUGAUUGGCGUAAAGGGUUUGUAGGCGGUUUUUUAAGUUGAUGGUGAAAGAACAAAUCAAUGUUUGUUAACACCUUCAAGACUAUUAAACUUAGAGUAUCAUUUGGGAUAGCGAACUUCCAAUGUAGCGAUAAAAUGCUUAGAGAUUGGAGGGAACACCGGAGGCGAAGGCGGCUAUCUGGAUGAUGACUGACGCUGAGGACGAAAGCAUGGGGAUCAAACAGGAUUAGAGACCCUGUAGUCCAUGCUGUAAACGAUGAAUGUUAAAUGUUGGAUAUAUUCUGAUAUUAAAGCUAACGCGUUAAACAUUCCGCCUGGUACUACGAUCGCAAGAUUGAAACUCAAAGAAAUUGACGGAGGCCCGUUACAAGCGGUGGAGCAUGUGUUUAAUUCGACACAACGCGAAAAACCUUACAGCUCUUGACAUCUUUAAGAAAAAAAUGUUAGAUUAAGGCAAAUUUGUCUUAAAUUCCAUCGAUCAUGAUUUUUUAGCGUGAAUCAUUUUUAUCAGUUCAUAGAGAUAUGUCUGAUAUUUAUUAUUAAUUCAAGUAUAAUUUCAUAUUUAAAUUAUUUGAAUAGCAUAUUCUUAAAGACAGGUGUUGCAUGGCUGUCGUCAGCUCGUGUUGUGAAAUGUAAGUUAACUCCAUGAAACGAGCGUAACCCUAUCUUCAAUUUAUGGACAUUAUGGUUUGGUCUAUUAUUUGAAGAAACUGCCUAUGAAAAUAGGAGGAAGGUGGGGAUGAAGUCAAGUCAUCACGCCUUAAUGAGCUGGGCUACACAUGUGCUACAAUGGCAAUAACAAAGAGUAGCAAUGGGGUAUAUUCCCGGAGCAAAUCUCAAAAACGUUGUCUCAGUUCGAAUUGUUCUCUGCAACUCGAGAACAUGAAGUUGAAUCGCUAGUAAUCGUAGAUCAGCACGCUACGGUGAAUGUGUGCCCGGGCCUUGUACACACCGCCCGUCACAUCAUGGAGUCUGUCGCAUUUGAAUUGGAUUACUAUUUCUUUUUUGCUUUAAGUUAAAUGGAUACGUUUAUCCAUUUAAUUUUUUAAAGUGAAAGGAUUUGUGUUCUCUAAUAAACUGUGGCUGAUGACUGGGGUGAAGUCGUAACAAGGUAGUCGUAGGGAACCUGUGGCUGGAUGAAAUUUUAA
RNAcentral lists this ribosomal RNA (1637 nucleotides) under Eukaryota sp. BB2. RNAcentral describes it as "SSU rRNA". It matches the Rfam family "Bacterial small subunit ribosomal RNA". The record is from RNAcentral.